GGGAUAAAUGCACACUAAUACUGUCUCUCCUUUUUAUCUAGGUUGCUGUGCUCUUGGGCAUCACUGCAGUAGCUGAAAUCCUGCUAGAUGGGCCAGGCAAGAUAAAAUGCAGAGCUGGGAGACGUGCAUGGACUCCUCGGUAUGGACACACUUACAAGGACAGAUCCAGUGCCUUCAAGGAAACCACGUCACGCUGUAUCAGCAGGCAUUCUCUGUCAGUCCAGCUUCGGGUUCCCAUCUCCAGGCUAAAGCUGCAAAACCAGCUACCUCCAAGUUCACGCCCUUUCUUCUUGGAAAGAGCCUGCUCAGCACGUCCAGCCUUCAUCAACUCACCUGGCUUCUUUAAAGACCUUGAAAUUGUGACCUUUGGGCCGACGAAGCCGUUUCUGAGCAUUUUGAUGCUGGCACUACGCACGUCAGGCCCAGCCAGCCCGUCCUACCUAGAGUGAGGAAGAGGAUCCCCCGUUUCUAAGGCGAAUCUGCUCUUUGGACCGGGCCUUGGGCUCUUGGAUCUGGAGUUUGAAUUUUGAAGGGGUCGUGAUAGCUGUUUGCUUGGG
RNAcentral lists this long non-coding RNA (557 nucleotides) under Apteryx owenii (little spotted kiwi). Its description in RNAcentral is "lncRNA (ENSAOWG00000018698.1)". The record is from RNAcentral. Lineage: Eukaryota; Metazoa; Chordata; Aves; Apterygiformes; Apterygidae.